This 254-nucleotide ribosomal RNA is filed under the name uncultured bacterium. RNAcentral describes it as "partial 16S ribosomal RNA". It matches the Rfam family "Bacterial small subunit ribosomal RNA", at positions 524 to 776 of the family's 1533-position model. The record is from RNAcentral.
UACGAAGGGGGCUAGCGUUGCUCGGAAUUACUGGGCGUAAAGCGCACGUAGGCGGAUUGUUAAGUCGGGGGUGAAAUCCUGGAGCUCAACUCCAGAACUGCCUUCGAUACUGGCGAUCUCGAGUCCGGGAGAGGUGAGUGGAACUGCGAGUGUAGAGGUGAAAAUUCGUAGAUAUUCGCAAGAACACCAGUGGCGAAGGCGGCUCACUGGCCCGGUACUGACGCUGAGGUGCGAAAGCGUGGGGAGCAAACAGG